CCUACGGUGGGCUGCAGUGGGGAAUAUUGGACAAUGGGCGAAAGCCUGAUCCAGCCAUGCCGCGUGUGUGAAGAAGGCCUUCGGGUUGUAAAGCACUUUCAGUGGGGAAGAAAGCCUUGGGGCUAAUACCCUCGAGGAAGGACAUCACCCACAGAAGAAGCACCGGCUAACUCCGUGCCAGCAGCCGCGGUAAUACGGAGGGUGCGAGCGUUAAUCGGAAUUACUGGGCGUAAAGCGCGCGUAGGCGGUCUGAUAAGCCGGUUGUGAAAGCCCCGGGCUCAACCUGGGAACGGCAUCCGGACCUGUCAGGCUAGAGUGCAGGAGAGGAAGGUAGAAUUCCCGGUGUAGCGGUGAAAUGCGUAGAGAUCGGGAGGAAUACCAGUGGCGAAGGCGGCCUUCUGGACUGACACUGACGCUGAGGUGCGAAAGCGUGGGUAGCAAACAGGAUUAGAUACCCCAGUAGUC
RNAcentral lists this ribosomal RNA (465 nucleotides) under Vreelandella stevensii. Its description in RNAcentral is "partial 16S ribosomal RNA". It matches the Rfam family "Bacterial small subunit ribosomal RNA", at positions 338 to 795 of the family's 1533-position model. Lineage: Bacteria; Pseudomonadati; Pseudomonadota; Gammaproteobacteria; Oceanospirillales; Halomonadaceae. The record is from RNAcentral.